RNAcentral lists this ribosomal RNA (402 nucleotides) under uncultured bacterium. Its description in RNAcentral is "bacterial SSU rRNA". It matches the Rfam family "Bacterial small subunit ribosomal RNA", at positions 355 to 774 of the family's 1533-position model. The record is from RNAcentral.
UCGGGAAUUUUGGGCAAUGGGCGAAAGCCUGACCCAGCAACGCCGCGUGAGGGAUGAAGUAUUUCGGUAUGUAAACCUCGAAAGGAUGGGAAGAAUAAAUGACGGUACCAUUUAUAAGCUCCGGCUAACUACGUGCCAGCAGCCGCGGUAAUACGUAGGGAGCAAGCGUUGUUCGGAUUUACUGGGCGUAAAGGGCGCGUAGGCGGCGCGGUAAGUCACUUGUGAAAUCUCUGAGCUUAACUCAGAACGGCCAAGUGAUACUGCUGUGCUAGAGUGCGGAAGAGGCAACCGGAAUUCUUGGUGUAGCGGUGGAAUGCGUAGAUAUCAAGAGGAACACCUGAGGCGAAGGCGGGUUGCUGGGCCGACACUGACGCUGAUGCGCGAAAGCCAGGGGAGCAAACG